RNAcentral lists this ribosomal RNA (253 nucleotides) under uncultured bacterium. RNAcentral describes it as "partial 16S ribosomal RNA". It matches the Rfam family "Bacterial small subunit ribosomal RNA", at positions 524 to 776 of the family's 1533-position model. The record is from RNAcentral.
UACGUAGGGUGCAAGCGUUGUCCGGAAUUAUUGGGCGUAAAGAGCUCGUAGGCGGUUUGUCGCGUCUGGUGUGAAAAUCCAGGGCUUAACCCUGGACCUGCAUCGGGUACGGGCAGACUAGAGUGCGGUAGGGGAGAUCGGAAUUCCUGGUGUAGCGGUGAAAUGCGCAGAUAUCAGGAGGAACACCGGUGGCGAAGGCGGAUCUCUGGGCCGUAACUGACGCUGAGGUGCGAAAGCGUGGGGAGCAAACAGG